AGUGAACGCUGGCGGUAGGCCUAACACAUGCCAGUCGAACGGCAGCACAGUAAGAGCUUGCUCUUACGGGUGGCGAGUGGCGGACGGGUGAGGAAUACAUCGGAAUCUACUUUUUCGUGGGGGAUAACGUAGGGAAACUUACGCUAAUACCGCAUACGACCUACGGGUGAAAGCAGGGGAUCUUCGGACCUUGCGCGAUUGAAUGAGCCGAUGUCGGAUUAGCUAGUUGGCGGGGUAAAGGCCCACCAAGGCGACGAUCCGUAGCUAGUCUGAGAGGAUGAUCAGCCACACUGGAACUGAGACACGGUCCAGACUCCUACGGGAGGCAGCAGUGGGGAAUAUUGGACAAUGGGCGCAAGCCUGAUCCAGCCAUACCGCGUGGGUGAAGAAGGCCUUCGGGUUGUAAAGCCCUUUUGUUGGGAAAGAAAAGCAGCAGGUUAAUACCCCGCUGUUCUGACGGUACCCAAAGAAUAAGCACCGGCUAACUUCGUG
This 492-nucleotide ribosomal RNA is filed under the name uncultured bacterium. RNAcentral describes it as "partial 16S ribosomal RNA". It matches the Rfam family "Bacterial small subunit ribosomal RNA", at positions 29 to 507 of the family's 1533-position model. The record is from RNAcentral.